UGGGGAAUAUUGCACAAUGGGCGCAAGCCUGAUGCAGCGACGCCGCGUGGGGGAUGACGGCCUUCGGGUCGUAAACUCCUUUCGCCAGGGACGAAGCGUUUUGUGACGGUACCUGGAGAAGAAGCACCGGCUAACUACGUGCCAGCAGCCGCGGUAAUACGUAGGGUGCAAGCGUUGUCCGGAAUUACUGGGCGUAAAGAGCUCGUAGGUGGUUUGUCACGUCGUCUGUGAAAUUCCACAGCUUAACUGUGGGCGUGCAGGCGAUACGGGCUGACUUGAGUACUGUAGGGGUAACUGGAAUUCCUGGUGUAGCGGUGAAAUGCGCAGAUAUCAGGAGGAACACCGAUGGCGAAGGCAGGUUACUGGGCAGUUACUGACGCUGAGGAGCGAAAGCAUGGGUAGCAAACAGGAUUAGAUACCCUGGUAGUCCAUGCCGUAAACGGUGGGCGCUAGGUGUAGGGACCUUUUGGGGUUUCUGUGCCGUAGCUAACGCAUUAAGCGCCCCGCCUGGGGAGUACGGCCGCAAGGCUA
Molecule: ribosomal RNA, 531 nt
Filed under: uncultured bacterium
Lineage: Bacteria
Description: bacterial SSU rRNA
Rfam family: Bacterial small subunit ribosomal RNA
Source: RNAcentral